AUGGAGGCAAUGGCCGCGAAACUAGUAUUCCCCCAGGACAACCCACCACUUUCCAUCAUUUCUGCUGCUAAGAUUGCAGGUGUUCCCAUAACCACUGAUCCCUGCCUCCCAUCAGGUUCAGUGCCCACACUACACUUUGGUUCUGGGGACUUUAUACAUGGCGUCAACACAGUUCUUCGUUAUAUUGCCCGUACUACAUCUGUUUCCAGCUUCUAUGGCGAGGACGCUAUUCAGGCAGCACGUGUUGAUGAAUGGCUCGAGUACGCACCACUCAUUCUUUCAGGCUCUGAAUUCGAUGCUGCUUGCUCAUUUCUUGAUGGAUACUUGGCAUCUCGAACAUUUUUGGUUGGUCAUGGUCUGACAGUUGCUGAUAUUGUAGUGUGGGCAAACCUCAGAGGAGCUGGUCAACGAUGGGAAAGUUUAAGGAGGUCAAGUAAGUACCAAAACCUUGUCCGUUGGUUCAACAACGUGGCUGUAGACUAUGCACUAGAAGAAGUUACAUCUGCUUAUGUUGGAAAGCAAGCAAUUGGCAAAUCUCCCGCACCAUGCCUGAACCAAAAGAUGCAUGGCUUGGAAAAUAUCUCAGUUCAUGAGAUAGAUCUCCCAGGUGCAAAAGUUGGGGAGGUUUGCGUACGUUUUGCCCCAGAGCCUAGCGGGUAUCUCCACAUUGGGCAUGCUAAGGCUGCACUGUUGAACCAGUAUUUUGCAGAUAGAUAUAAAGGACGUCUUUUAGUUCGAUUUGAUGACACAAAUCCUUCAAAAGAAAGCAGUGAAUUUGUUGAGAACGUCCUGAAGGAUAUUGAGACGCUUGGGGUUCAAUACGAUGCAGUUACAUACACAUCGGUUUAUUUCCCAAAGCUAAUGGAGAUGGCUGAAUGUUUGAUUAAGCAGGGAAAGGCAUAUGUUGAUGAUACACCCAAGGAUAACAUGAAUACUGAAAGGAGGGACGGUGUGGAAUCUAAAUGUAGAAACAGCACUGUUGAGGAGAACUUGUUGUUGUGGAGUGAGAUGGUUAAUGGUACCAAGAGGGGUACUCAGUGCUGUGUGCGUGGUAAACUUGACAUGCAGGACCCCAACAAAUCACUUCGAGAUCCUGUUUACUACCGUUGCAACCCUGAUCCCCAUCAUCGUGUUGGCUCAAAAUACAAGGUCUAUCCAACAUAUGACUUUGCAUGCCCAUUUGUUGACGCAUUGCAAGGAGUGACUCAUGCUCUUCGUUCAAGUGAGUAUCAUGAUCGGAACGCACAGUACUACCGUAUCCUUCAGGACAUGGGGCUGCGGAGGGUUGAACUCUAUGAGUUCAGCAGACUGAAUAUGGUUUAUACCGUUCUUAGCAAGCGCACGCUUCGCUGGUUUGUACAAAACAAGAAGGUGGAGGACUGGACUGACGCACGCUUUCCCACUGUACAAGGCAUAUUACGUCGUGGCUUGAAGAUUGAAGCCUUGAUCCAGUUUAUACUCGAGCAGGGUGCUUCAAAGAAUCUGAAUCUCAUGGAAUGGGAUAAACUCUGGACAAUCAACAAGAAGAUAAUUGAUCCAGUCUGUGGAAGGCAUACUGCUGUGCUGAAGGACAAAAGUGUGCCCUUGAUACUCACUAAUGGCCCAGAGGUACCAUUCAUUAGAAUUUUACCUAGGCACAAGAAAUGCAAGGGUGCUGGAAAUAAGGCUAUAACGUUCGCAAACAGAAUUUGGCUAGAGUAUGCUGAUGCAUCAGCCAUUAGCGUGGGUGAGGAGGUCACUUUGAUGGACUGGGGAAGUGUUAUCAUUAAAGAAAUCAAGACAGAUGAUGGAACAAUUACUCAACUAGUUGGUGAGCUCCAUCCUGACGGGUCAGUGAAGAUGACAAAGCUGAAGCUAACAUGGCUAUCAGAUACUGAAGACCUUGUGUCUCUCUCUUUGGUGGAUUUUGACUACCUAAUCAUCAAUAAAAAGCUUCAACUGGGAGAAGAUGAUAAACCCGGAGGUGAGAAGUUUCUUGAAAAUCUUAACCCAUGCACCCGACGAGAAGCUUUAGCUCUUGGAGACCCAAACAUGCGGAACAUCAAGCGAGGAGAAGUUAUACAGCUCGAAAGGAAAGGCUAUUACAGGUGUGAUGUUCCAUUUGUCGGGUCAUCGAAACCAAUCAUGCUUUUUGCCAUUCCCGAUGGCCGACUGAAGUCCACGUCGAUUGUCUCUGGAGCCUAG
This 2184-nucleotide ribosomal RNA is filed under the name Triticum aestivum (bread wheat). Its description in RNAcentral is "partial small subunit ribosomal RNA". The record is from RNAcentral. Lineage: Eukaryota; Viridiplantae; Streptophyta; Magnoliopsida; Poales; Poaceae.